Molecule: ribosomal RNA, 209 nt
Filed under: Clostridioides difficile
Lineage: Bacteria; Bacillati; Bacillota; Clostridia; Peptostreptococcales; Peptostreptococcaceae
Description: partial 23S ribosomal RNA
Rfam family: Bacterial large subunit ribosomal RNA
Source: RNAcentral
GUCCUAAGGUAGCGAAAUUCCUGGUCGGGUAAGUUCCGACCCGCACGAAAGGCGUAACGAUAUGGGCACUGUCUCAACAACAGACUCGGUGAAAUUGUAAUUCCGGUGAAGAUGCCGGAUACCUGCGACAGGGCGGAAAGACCCCAUGGAGCUUUACUGUAGCUUGACAUUGGGUCUUGGUACUACAUGUACAGGAUAGGUGGGAGGCU